Molecule: transfer RNA, 69 nt
Filed under: Rexea antefurcata (long-finned escolar)
Lineage: Eukaryota; Metazoa; Chordata; Actinopteri; Scombriformes; Gempylidae
Description: tRNA-Phe
Source: RNAcentral
GCCCACGUAGCCUAAUUUAAGGCAUGACCUUGAAGCAGUUAAGAUGGGCCUUAAAAAGCUCCGUGGGCA